AUACGUAGGGUGCGAGCGUUGUCCGGAAUUACUGGGCGUAAAGAGCUCGUAGGUGGUUUGUCGCGUCGUCUGUGAAAUUCCGGGGCUUAACUCCGGGCGUGCAGGCGAUACGGGCAUAACUUGAGUACUGUAGGGGAGACUGGAAUUCCUGGUGUAGCGGUGAAAUGCGCAGAUAUCAGGAGGAACACCGGUGGCGAAGGCGGGUCUCUGGGCAGUAACUGACGCUGAGGAGCGAAAGCAUGGGUAGCGAACAGGAUUAGAUACCCUGGUGGUCCAUGCCGUAAACGGUGGGCGCUAGGUGUAGGGGUCUUCCACGACUUCUGUGCCGUAGCUAACGCAUUAAGCGCCCCGCCUGGGGAGUACGGCCGCAAGGCUAAAACUCAAAGGAAUUGACGGGG
This 398-nucleotide ribosomal RNA is filed under the name uncultured bacterium. RNAcentral's name for it is "partial 16S ribosomal RNA". It matches the Rfam family "Bacterial small subunit ribosomal RNA", at positions 523 to 918 of the family's 1533-position model. The record is from RNAcentral.